RNAcentral lists this ribosomal RNA (274 nucleotides) under uncultured bacterium. Its description in RNAcentral is "partial 16S ribosomal RNA". It matches the Rfam family "Bacterial small subunit ribosomal RNA", at positions 523 to 796 of the family's 1533-position model. The record is from RNAcentral.
AUACGGAGGGUGCGAGCGUUACUCGGAAUCACUGGGCGUAAAGCGCGCGCAGGCGGUCUUUUAAGUUGGAUGUGAAAGCCUACGGCUCAACCGUAGAACUGCAUCCAAAACUAUUAGACUAGAGUGUGGGAGAGGAAGAUGGAAUUAGUUGUGUAGGGGUAAAAUCCGUAGAGAUAUCUAGGAAUACCAAAAGCGAAGGCAAUCUUCUGGAACACUACUGACGCUGAGGCGCGAAAGCGUGGGGAGCAAACGGGAUUAGAUACCCUAGUAGUCC